This 1470-nucleotide long non-coding RNA is filed under the name Homo sapiens (human). RNAcentral describes it as "non-protein coding NUTM2A-AS1:49". The record is from RNAcentral. Lineage: Eukaryota; Metazoa; Chordata; Mammalia; Primates; Hominidae.
CUCGGGAGCCUCCACCCAGGCGCAUGGCUCCAUGAAGCAAGAGGAGGAGGCAGAGCGCGAGAGAUCCCGUCCGCCCCAGCCGCGUCUGGGCCAGGAGAAAAGCAAAACCAUAUUCCUGCUGCUGUCAGUUUUGAUGCACUGAGAAAACUUCAGAGACCUAAGCUUUUUCCAGAGAAGAGAAGCUUUACUGGUGUUCCAGCCCUAAGAAACUUAAAUCCUCAGUGUGACACAACUCAGUCCUUCUACUGCAGCAGCUCUUUUAUAAAAGCCUCCCAAAGCUCCAAGAAGGAACAAAGAAUGUGACCCAGUAAGCUCACACCAUAAGUCUAUAUUGCAGAAACCUUUGUUCAACAAAACUGCAGAUGCUCUGUUGAAUCCACUGGAGAUUGUCCUGAUACUAAGGACAAGUAUCAACCAUCUUUCCUGUGAAAAAUUCCCUCUCCUAGUACUUUAGUUCUGUGGAUCCAAAAUUUAUAGCAUUCUUCUACCACCACAGGGGUGAGUAUAUAAUAAAAAAUGUCAGUUAUUCAAGUAUGUAAGAAACUUGAAAGUCAUCACUCCCAUCCUUACAACAAGAAAAAUGCUGUACAAACAGACUAUCAACAACUCAUUUUAGAUCCAUUAGAGGACUGAGGUCACAGAAAAACUGCUGCGCCCACCCUAAAUCCCCAUUAAAUUAGAGAGAUGGGAAAAUGCAAAGAAUUAUAGCCUAGUGGAGCAAAAGCCCAGGAGCCCCCACAGGAGUUAGUAAUGGAGUAGAAAACUUUAAUAUGCAGUUGAUUAAUUUCUGGAAGCACAUUGUGGACAAGCUUGAGAAUUAACUUUGAAAAAUAUAUAACAUGAUAAUACUAAUUAAAAGAAAGCUGGAUUAAUAUAUUAAUUUCCAACAAAAAGACUUCAGAGAAAGAACAAUUAUAGGGGGAUACAAAGGGGUAUUACAUAGUAACAAAGGAUUUAAUUUUCCAAGAAAACGUAACAAUCCUUAAUGUGUUUGCAUGUAACAGGCUGUCAAAACACAUGAGGUGAAAACAGAUAGAACUGCAGGAACAGACAGAUAAAUCCACUAUGAUAAUUGGAGGUGUUAACACCUCUCUAUCAAUAAUGAAUAGAACCAGCAGGUGGAAAAUCAGUAAGGGCAUAGUUCAACUGAAUAGCACCAAAAUCAGUGAGUCCCAGUCUCUCUUCCCGGAAGUUGAUUCUUGAGCAGGGACGUCAGGAGUAGAGUGAUGUCCAGGCCAUAUUUAAUAACAAAUAAAUCAGAGUCUGGACAUGAUAUGUAGGCAUUCGUUUCUUUAAAAAAAAAUUGCCCCAGGUGAUUCCAUUGUGAAUCUAAUGUUGAGAAGAAAUAUGUGCAGUCGUUUUCUUUGAAUUCAUUCUGCCUGAGAUAUCUAGAGUUGUUCUGGUUGUUGACAUCGUUUUGUUUAGCAAUUCAUUCAUUCAAUUUUGUGAAUUAACUUUCAAGAAAUGCCU